UACGUAGGGUGCAAGCGUUGUCCGGAAUUAUUGGGCGUAAAGAGCUCGUAGGCGGUUUGUCGCGUCGAAUGUGAAAACCCGGGGCUCAACUCCGGGCCUGCAUUCGAUACGGGCAGACUAGAGUUCGGUAGGGGGAGUCUGGAAUUCCUGGUGUAGCGGUGAAAUGCGCAGAGAUCGGGAGGAACACCCGUAGCGAAGGCGGCACUCUGGGCCGUGACUGACGCUGAGGAGCGAAAGCGUGGGGAGCAAACAGG
RNAcentral lists this ribosomal RNA (254 nucleotides) under uncultured bacterium. RNAcentral describes it as "partial 16S ribosomal RNA". It matches the Rfam family "Bacterial small subunit ribosomal RNA", at positions 524 to 776 of the family's 1533-position model. The record is from RNAcentral.